RNAcentral lists this ribosomal RNA (876 nucleotides) under Triticum aestivum (bread wheat). RNAcentral's name for it is "partial small subunit ribosomal RNA". Lineage: Eukaryota; Viridiplantae; Streptophyta; Magnoliopsida; Poales; Poaceae. The record is from RNAcentral.
AUGUCGGCCGGUGAGAUCCCCGCUUCCUCUGCUCCCGGCGCGCCUCAGUUCCAUGUACUGGCGGAGCUGCCAUGGCCGCAGCCACCGGACGCCGACAAUGAUUACUUCCUCGAGAAAUUCCAAGCCUGUGUUGAAACAUUGCCAGCUAUGCUGCACAAGAACUAUUCAUUAAUGCGAGAGCUCGAUAAAAGCUUGCAAGGUGUGCAGCUGGAAAAUGAGCAGCGAUGUCAACAAGAAAUAGAGGACAUUAAGCAUGGACUUGAAUCUGGAAGUAUUACAACAUAUGAGCCAGCAAAACUUAAAUUUUCUGAUGAGGCAAUCGAGGAGCAGAAACAUUGUGUUAGGAUUGCUGAUGAGAAGGUGGCUUUAGCCACACAAACGUAUGACCUGGUCGACGCUCAUAUCCAACAGCUUGAUCAAUACAUGAGGAAGCUUGAAGAACUUCGACUAGAAAAGGAGGCAGCUGCAGCUGCAGCUGCAGCUGCAGCUGCGGCAGAUACAGCUGUUGCUGCUACUUCAGCUGCUCCUGCUGGCGCUGGUAGCUUAAGGUCCGCAGCUGCUGAUCCUGCUCCAAAAACUGGAAGAGCUGGCGAAAGAAACAGAGGAGGGCGGAAGAAGGCUAAGGUGCCCACGGAGAUGCCCACAGAGAUCCCCAUAGAGCAGCCAGCUAUAGAUUUAGAAUUGCCUGUCGAUCCUAAUGAACCGACGUACUGCUUCUGCAACCAAGUCAGCUACGGUGAGAUGGUCGCGUGCGACAACCCUGAUUGCAAGAUAGAGUGGUUCCACUUUGGAUGCGUGGGAUUGAAAGAGCAGCCGAGGGGGAAGUGGUAUUGCCUGAGUUGCAGCGCAUUCCAAAAGAAGCGCAAGGGCAGGUGA